AUUCAUCAAAGAAAAAGGAGAAGGAAAGCAAAAGAGACAGAGUCCAAACGCUUUCCAUAAUAGGUACACGACAAAUGUCUGGAUUAUUUUUCUAGUAGAAAUGACAUAAAGUGCGACCCAAGAUCCAUGAUACGAAAACCAAAAGCAAUAUAAGUAAGCACACGAAAUCCUGAUGGAUUUCUAACUCCAACUCGAACAAUAAAUAAUUAUACAAUAGAAAAGACCAUCUAAAGAGCUUUAUCUCUAUCAUAAUCGCUAAAAUAGUAGAAAAAACGAUCGCUGAAAAUUCAAGUAAAAAGGGAAGCGUUUUUGAGAACAUAGGAGAGGAAUUCCAAUUUGGAGAAAUUCAAAUGAUAAAUAAGCUGUGCUAUGGCUUUUGCGCUAUU
RNAcentral lists this long non-coding RNA (386 nucleotides) under Nicotiana benthamiana. Its description in RNAcentral is "long non-coding RNA (NBEN_LNC039701)". Lineage: Eukaryota; Viridiplantae; Streptophyta; Magnoliopsida; Solanales; Solanaceae. The record is from RNAcentral.